GCAGUUAAGAGCUCUUCGGAUUGGUCCCGUAGGCCGCCUUUCGGGGUGGCUCUCGGCGUGCCGAGAAGAUGCGUAAAUCGACCGGAGUAGAGGAAGUAAAAGUCGUAACAAGGUAUCCGUAGGUGAACCUGCGGAUGGAUCAU
This 143-nucleotide ribosomal RNA is filed under the name Venus verrucosa. RNAcentral's name for it is "partial 18S ribosomal RNA". It matches the Rfam family "Eukaryotic small subunit ribosomal RNA", at positions 1697 to 1829 of the family's 1831-position model. Lineage: Eukaryota; Metazoa; Mollusca; Bivalvia; Venerida; Veneridae. The record is from RNAcentral.